CGAGCGAAUGGAUUAAGAGCUUGCUCUUAUCGAAGUUAGCGGCGGACGGGUGAGUAACACGUGGGUAACCUACCCAUAAGACUGGGAUAACUCCGGGAAACCGGGGCUAAUACCGGAUAAUAUUUUGAACUGCAUAGUUCGAAAUUGAAAGGCGGCUUCGGCUGUCACUUAUGGAUGGACCCGCGUCGCAUUAGCUAGUUGGUGAGGUAACGGCUCACCAAGGCGACGAUGCGUAGCCGACCUGAGAGGGUGAUCGGCCACACUGGGACUGAGACACGGCCCAGACUCCUACGGGAGGCAGCAGUAGGGAAUCUUCCGCAAUGGACGAAAGUCUGACGGAGCAACGCCGCGUGAGUGAUGAAGGCUUUCGGGCCGUAAAACUCUGUUGUUAGGGAAGAACAAGUGCUAGUUGAAUAAGCUGGCACCUUGACGGUACCUAACCAGAAAGCCACGGCUAACUACGUGCCAGCAGCCGCGGUAAUACGUAAGUGGCAAGCGUUAUCCGGAAUUAUUGGGCGUAAAGCGCGCGCAGGUGGUUUCUUAAGUCUGAUGUGAAAGCCCACGGCUCAACCGUGGAGGGUCAUUGGAAACUGGGAGACUUGAGUGCAUAAGAGGAAAGUGGAAUUCCAUGUGUAGCGGUGAAAUGCGUAGAGAUAUGGAGGAACACCAGUGGCGAAAGCGACUUUCUGGUCUGUAACUGACACUGAGGCGCGAAAGCGUGGGGAGCAUCAGGAUUAGAUACCCUGGUAGUCCACGCCGUAAACGAUGAGUGCUAAGUGUCAGAGGGUUUCCGCCCUUUAGUGCUGAAUUUAACGCAUGUAAGCACUCCGCCUGGGGAGUACGGCCGCAAGAGCUGGAACUCAAUGAAUCGACUCGGGAAGGGCGAAUUCGCGGCCGCUACAU
This 903-nucleotide ribosomal RNA is filed under the name uncultured Bacillota bacterium. RNAcentral describes it as "bacterial SSU rRNA". It matches the Rfam family "Bacterial small subunit ribosomal RNA", at positions 63 to 950 of the family's 1533-position model. Lineage: Bacteria; Bacillati; Bacillota. The record is from RNAcentral.